RNAcentral lists this long non-coding RNA (206 nucleotides) under Musa acuminata (dwarf banana). Its description in RNAcentral is "long non-coding RNA (MACU_LNC004647)". Lineage: Eukaryota; Viridiplantae; Streptophyta; Magnoliopsida; Zingiberales; Musaceae. The record is from RNAcentral.
GGUGGUUCUACCGCUGGCCCUAACUAUGAUUUUUAUAGGGUAGUGUUGCGGGCAGUGCUACCGCCUUUAAGCAAUGUCUACUAGUGCUACCGCUAGUCCAACGGUGCCAUCGUUGGUGCAUUGCUUUUUGCUCAAGUUAUCGUUGUUGGCUUUUAUUUUCUAGCAUUUUUGCUUUUUUUUUUAGACAAGCAAGAUCACAAUCUAGA